RNAcentral lists this ribosomal RNA (403 nucleotides) under bacterium. Its description in RNAcentral is "partial 16S ribosomal RNA". It matches the Rfam family "Bacterial small subunit ribosomal RNA", at positions 355 to 776 of the family's 1533-position model. The record is from RNAcentral.
UGGGGAAUAUUGCACAAUGGGGGAAACCCUGAUGCAGCGACGCCGCGUGAACGAAGAAGGUAUUCGUAUCGUAAAGUUCUGUCCUAUGGGAAGAUAAUGACAGUACCAUAGAAGAAAGCUCCGGCUAAAUACGUGCCAGCAGCCGCGGUAAUACGUAUGGAGCGAGCGUUGUCCGGAAUUAUUGGGCGUAAAGGGUACGCAGGCGGUUUAAUAAGUCGAAUGUUAAAGAUCGGGGCUCAACCCCGCAAAGCAUUGGAAACUGAUAAACUUGAGUAGUGGAGAGGAAAGUGGAAUUCCUAGUGUAGUGGUGAAAUACGUAGAUAUUAGGAGGAAUACCAGUAGCGAAGGCGACUUUCUGGACACAAACUGACGCUGAGGUACGAAAGCGUGGGGCGCAAACAGG